GUGGGGAAUAUUGGUCAAUGGGCGCGAGCCUGAACCAGCCAAGUAGCGUGCAGGAUGACGGCCCUAUGGGUUGUAAACUGCUUUUAUCAGGGGAUAAAGUGAGGGACGUGUCCCUUUUUGUAGGUACCUGAUGAAUAAGGACCGGCUAAUUCCGUGCCAGCAGCCGCGGUAAUACGGAAGGUCCGGGCGUUAUCCGGAUUUAUUGGGUUUAAAGGGAGCGCAGGCUGAUUGUUAAGCGUGACGUGAAAUGUAGCCGCUCAACGGCUGAACUGCGUCGCGAACUGGCAGUCUUGAGUGAGUACGACGUCAGCGGAAUUCGUGGUGUAGCGGUGAAAUGCUUAGAUAUCACGAAGAACCCCGAUUGCGAAGGCAGCUGACGAGUCCUUUACUGACGCUAAAGCUCGAAGGUGCGGGUAUCGAACAGG
RNAcentral lists this ribosomal RNA (425 nucleotides) under uncultured rumen bacterium. RNAcentral describes it as "bacterial SSU rRNA". It matches the Rfam family "Bacterial small subunit ribosomal RNA", at positions 354 to 776 of the family's 1533-position model. The record is from RNAcentral.